Molecule: ribosomal RNA, 515 nt
Filed under: uncultured bacterium
Lineage: Bacteria
Description: bacterial SSU rRNA
Rfam family: Bacterial small subunit ribosomal RNA
Source: RNAcentral
AAAACAAAGACGAACGCUGGCGGCGUGCCUAAUACAUGCAAGUCGAACGGUCUUUUCUACGGAAGCUUGCUUCCACUGGGAAGAUAGUGGCGGACAGGUGAGUAACACGUGGGUAACCUGCCCAUAAGAGGGGGAUAACAUCCGGAAACGGGUGCUAAUACCGCAUAGUUUUCUUGAUCGCAUGAUUGAGAAAGGAAAGACGGCCUUUGUGCUGUCGCUUAUGGAUGGACCCGCGGCGUAUUAGUUAGUUGGUGAGGUAAUGGCUCACCAAGACGAUGAUACGUAGCCGACCUGAGAGGGUGAUCGGCCACAUUGGGACUGAGACACGGCCCAAACUCCUACGGGAGGCAGCAGUAGGGAAUCUUCCGCAAUGGACGAAAGUCUGACGGAGCAACGCCGCGUGAGUGAAGAAGGUUUUCGGAUCGUAAAACUCUGUUGUCAGAGAAGAACAAGUCGGAAAGUAACUGUUCCGGCCUUGACGGUAUCUGACCAGAAAGCCACGGCUAACUACGUGC